AGAAGCGUGCCCGAAUUAAAGGACUACCUUGAUAGCGUAGACAUGGACCUCCCUCAA
RNAcentral lists this transfer RNA (57 nucleotides) under Laticauda semifasciata (broad-banded blue sea krait). RNAcentral describes it as "tRNA-Ile". Lineage: Eukaryota; Metazoa; Chordata; Lepidosauria; Squamata; Elapidae. The record is from RNAcentral.